UUACGGCCAUAUCACAUUGAAACACCGGGUCCCGUACGACCACAGAAGUUAAACAACGUCGAACCUGGUCAGUAUAUAGAUGGGUAACCGCUUGGGAAUAUUAGGUGCU
Molecule: non-coding RNA, 109 nt
Organism: Acanthosepion pharaonis
Lineage: Eukaryota; Metazoa; Mollusca; Cephalopoda; Sepiida; Sepiidae
Source: the annotation of a GenBank genome assembly